GACGAACGCUGGCGGUGUGCUUAACACAUGCCAGUCGAACGGAAAGGCCCUGCUUUUGUGGGGUGCUCGAGUGGCGAACGGGUGAGUAACACGUGAGUAACCUGCCCUUGACUUUGGGAUAACUUCAGGAAACUGGGGCUAAUACCGGAUAGGAGCUCCUGCUGCAUGGUGGGGGUUGGAAAGUUUCGGCGGUUGGGGAUGGACUCGCGGCUUAUCAGCUUGUUGGUGGGGUAGUGGCUUACCAAGGCUUUGACGGGUAGCCGGCCUGAGAGGGUGACCGGCCACAUUGGGACUGAGAUACGGCCCAGACUCCUACGGGAGGCAGCAGUGGGGAAUAUUGCACAAUGGGCGGAAGCCUGAUGCAGCAACGCCGCGUGCGGGAUGACGGCCUUCGGGUUGUAAACCGCUUUCGCCUGUGACGAAGCGUGAGUGACGGUAAUGGGUAAAGAAGCACCGGCUAACUACGUG
RNAcentral lists this ribosomal RNA (468 nucleotides) under uncultured bacterium. Its description in RNAcentral is "partial 16S ribosomal RNA". It matches the Rfam family "Bacterial small subunit ribosomal RNA", at positions 28 to 507 of the family's 1533-position model. The record is from RNAcentral.